AUUUGGUGCAAGUCUGGUUAAUUCAUGCCUGGGCCCAUCCUACCAAAAUCAACCUAGUAAUUGUGGCACAACAUAUUUUGUUUUUCAUAUUUCAUUAUCUCUUAGGUAAUUUUCAAAGACUAUGUCAGCUGCCAACAUCAACCAAAUGUCCUCAAUGUGAACUUGACAGUGGCCUGUGAGUUCACAAAGGUCUCGUUCCAGGAAUGUGAUUCUCAUUACCAUGAUGUGAGAGAGAAACUGCUUAAAGAUAUUUGGCAAACAUUCUGUGGACAUUUGCAAAAGCAGGAACAAAACCAACCAAGAAGCAACCUUAGAACUUCAGUUUGAAAUCCAGAUCAUCCGCAGUAGGAGCCUAAAAGAAUUUCAGGAAAAGAUUUAAGAGCCAUACACCUAGAGAGUUUUUAUAUUUUGAUGUUCAGAGAAAUCAGAAAAAGCUUCAUGGAGGAGGUGGCAACAGAG
This 459-nucleotide long non-coding RNA is filed under the name Phascolarctos cinereus (koala). RNAcentral describes it as "lncRNA (ENSPCIG00000033809.1)". The record is from RNAcentral. Lineage: Eukaryota; Metazoa; Chordata; Mammalia; Diprotodontia; Phascolarctidae.